CGUUUUUACCCCCUUGGUGUGUUUGAAGCGAGAAAACGUAAAGAAGACAAACAUUUGGUUCUCCCCCCCCCCCUUGCCCUUUCUCCAUGGCUGUGUAGUAGAAGAAAGGGGGAAGGAGAGACUUUUUGUUGUUGUUUCUUUGGCCGGGGUCUCCACCCUCCUGCUGCCUUCUCUGCGCUUUGGUAUCAUUCUUUGCCGCGUGUGGUGGGGUGUCUUCUCUGGGGCCGGCCGGUCUUUCUCCCCGGGCUCCAUGGCUGGAUUGUGGAAACUGCACCCGGCUGCAGGUUGUUGAGCAACUGAUGGGACGAUCUCAAGGACCGGCGGUUACGGAAGAGUUAAACUUGUCUACACCUACAGAGAAAAGAGACCCAGAUCAUGGACAGAUGGUGAGUUUUUACACCUUUCUGUUGCUAAAUUGGAGAAAGUAGAUGCAUUGACAGACUCUUGAGUUCCGCCCUAUUGUGUCAUUUCUGCUUCUCCCAUAAGCAGCAGUGACUAAGGAAUGAAGAGAUUGUCUAAUAUGUUUUUCUCUUGGGAGUAGAUGUUUCUGCAUGAGAGAGCAUCGGGGUUCCUCCUAACAGUAUGUGUCUUAGUAGAAACUGG
RNAcentral lists this long non-coding RNA (603 nucleotides) under Ailuropoda melanoleuca (giant panda). RNAcentral's name for it is "lncRNA (ENSAMEG00000025686.1)". Lineage: Eukaryota; Metazoa; Chordata; Mammalia; Carnivora; Ursidae. The record is from RNAcentral.